RNAcentral lists this ribosomal RNA (333 nucleotides) under Extubocellulus spinifer. RNAcentral describes it as "partial Eukaryotic large subunit ribosomal RNA". It matches the Rfam family "Eukaryotic large subunit ribosomal RNA", at positions 1659 to 1995 of the family's 3401-position model. The record is from RNAcentral. Lineage: Eukaryota; Bacillariophyta; Thalassiosirophyceae; Cymatosirales; Cymatosiraceae.
UUGGUGACGCGGGGGGGAGCCCUUGGAAGCGAUGUCUUUUCUUGUUUACCCCUCCACACCCUGGAAACAGUCUGCCUGGGGAUAGGGUUGGUUGGUGGGUAUAGCACUUCGCCCUCAGAGGUGUCUGGUGAGCUCCUCACUGCCCUUGAAAAGCUGAACGUAGCGUUUUUCGUCCCUGUUCGUACCCAUAGCCGCAUCAGGUCUCCAAGGUUAGCUGCCUCUGGUCUCUAGGGCAAAGUAGGUAAGGGAAGUCGGCAAAGUAGAUCCGUAACUUUGGGAAAAGGAUUGGCUCUGAGGGUUGGGCUUGUGGGUCUCCGUGGCAAUGGGAUAGCG